UGGUAAUCAGUUACAACCUGUGCAGGCUGAGCUCUUGUCCCACACGCCUGAACACUGAGGGGUAAAGGGUACAGCAGGAAGCUCGAGGAUGUUAUCUCAGUAGUGUGCAGCUGUGUCAUGACUCUCACAAUUCUAGAUAUCAGUUUCUGCAGUUACCACCCAUUUAAACCACAACGAACCUUUGCCGGUGUGAGCUACAGCACAUCCUAGUAUGGAACUAGUUGAACAUCAAUCUCACAGCCAUCUCCAGGGGUGACAGCAUGGAACUCGGCCGGGCUGUUGCCUCAGCGCAGUUGGGCUGGAUCACAUUGACACGGUAAAGGGGAAAGAAGGGGAAAAAAAAAGGCGCUGGCUCCAGCCUGGCGGCACCACUCGGCAGGUUGAUGAAUGUCCAGGACUUCAGGAUCCUCGCCACCCAGAUCUGACUUCCGGCUGCCCUCCUUCGGUGCUGGAGACAUUCCUUGCAAGAUCACUUGAAUGGCUGCUCUGUUGUAUAUCAGCCCAGGCGGCAGGACCAGGCAAUUUACAAGAUGUCCUGCUGUUUAAAACCACGACCCAGCCUCAGAGCUGUGCUCCCAGAGACGCCAAGGAGUGAACAUCCCCAAGAUUUACAAUGGAGCCCGACACACAGUUACUGCUUGUGAAUUAGUGACCUUUCAACCUAAAGACUUUAGUCAACCCUGGCUCGGGAUACAAGUGAACGACACAUGAACCAGAUCUGGUACGUAUGACUGGGGACUCAAAUUAAACCAAGGCUUAAAAAAAAUGUAACAUUGAUAUGUAAUACAAUAAGGCAAAUUUUUAUGAGCCUUGAACUUUGGGAUAUUACGGUUGUGCCAAGACACCUGCUGUUCAAAUAACUUUAUAUGGAAUUUUCCCCGAGACAGACAGGUGAAAAAAAACUCC
Molecule: long non-coding RNA, 906 nt
Filed under: Lepisosteus oculatus (spotted gar)
Lineage: Eukaryota; Metazoa; Chordata; Actinopteri; Semionotiformes; Lepisosteidae
Description: lncRNA (ENSLOCG00000022236.1)
Source: RNAcentral